GAGUGACAAGAGGAGGUAGCAAGAUUAUGUAUAGAUUAUUCGUCAUCCCCAAAAGAGAGUUGUGGAGUUUGAGGAGGCCUGAUAAACAACACCUCUUGUCUUCUGAGAUCAGAAUCAGUUAAGAGAAACAUGGGAGUCAGACAGGAGAUAAGAAGGGGCAGAAAGCACAGGCCGAGGGAACCCAGGAGGUGGAGUGAGUACGAGAUGAGGACACCAAGACCUAGACCCAGGGCAUCUGUAGUGAUCUAACACCAGAGGAUGUGUCCUGACCCUGUUGCUGAUUGUGUGACUUAACUCACUGGGUCAUCACUUGCACCUCAAGAUGCUCCUGAUGGUGGCUAGGUUAAUCUUCCACUUGCAAUGACUGAGCCCUGGAUUGCAAUGAACAUCAAGAAAGAUGUUUGGGAGACUUUAGGACUACAGACCUAGUCGUUGGUGGUGAAUUCAUCCUGGCACAGCAGGGGAAAAAACAGGAGAGCCCAGCUGAGGAAGCUCCAAUGGGCUGGGGCUGUACUCUUUGCUCCCAUUCCUUCUUUUCUAGUUGUUUUGCCCUGCCCACCUCUUCCCUAUAAUCUCUUUCUUGUUCCUCUCCAGCCCUCUCUGUGUAUCUGUAUCAAACACAAGUUUUGCUAAGACACGCCUAUGUAUGGCUUCCUCUGCCUACUCCAUAGAAUCUCUCAUAUCUUCCUCUAAUUUCUGCUAGGUGACUUAGAGCUUGAAAGUGUGUUGUCACAAUGUAGGUAACCAAAAGUGUGCAUGAAACUAAAAAGUCUGGAAAAUAAGGCCAUGUGUGCCUUCUUUUGCUACAAAAUGGAGCCUUGAAAAAUGGUGAUUUCUUGGAUGCUCUUUAACAACUUGAGAAGAACUAGAUAAAAGGAUGAAGAGAAUCGGGGGCCAGAAGGGAAACUAAGGCCUGGAGCAAAGAGGGAUCACAAUGGAUUAGCUGAUGUUUUCAGAAGAAGGAAGAGGCCCACUUAAGUUUCCUUGAUUCUUCUCAUCUU
Molecule: long non-coding RNA, 1001 nt
Organism: Fukomys damarensis (Damara mole-rat)
Lineage: Eukaryota; Metazoa; Chordata; Mammalia; Rodentia; Bathyergidae
Exons: 4
Source: RefSeq, a predicted model, not a curated record